This 390-nucleotide ribosomal RNA is filed under the name uncultured bacterium. RNAcentral describes it as "bacterial SSU rRNA". It matches the Rfam family "Bacterial small subunit ribosomal RNA", at positions 1000 to 1390 of the family's 1533-position model. The record is from RNAcentral.
UUAGAGAUAGAGGAGUGCUCGAAAGAGAACCGUAACACAGGUGCUGCAUGGCUGUCGUCAGCUCGUGUCGUGAGAUGUUGGGUUAAGUCCCGCAACGAGCGCAACCCUUGUCAUUAGUUGCUACAUUUAGUUGGGCACUCUAAUGAGACUGCCGGUGACAAACCGGAGGAAGGUGGGGAUGACGUCAAGUCCUCAUGGCCCUUAUAGGUGGGGCUACACACGUCAUACAAUGGAUGGUACAAAGGGUCGCCAACCCGCGAGGGGGAGCCAAUCCCAUAAAGCCAUUCGUAGUCCGGAUCGCAGUCUGCAACUCGACUGCGUGAAGUCGGAAUCGCUAGUAAUCGUGGAUCAGAAUGUCACGGUGAAUACGUUCCCGGGCCUUGUACACAC